This 440-nucleotide ribosomal RNA is filed under the name uncultured bacterium. RNAcentral's name for it is "partial 16S ribosomal RNA". It matches the Rfam family "Bacterial small subunit ribosomal RNA", at positions 338 to 795 of the family's 1533-position model. The record is from RNAcentral.
CCUACGGGAGUCUGCAGUGGGGGAUAUUGCACAAUGGGGGAAACCCUGAUGCAGCGACGCCGCGUGUGUGAAGACGGUCCUCUGGAUUGUAAACCACUUUCCCCAGGGACGAAGAUGACGGUACUUGGGGAGGAAGCUCCGCCUAACUACGUCCCAGCAGCCGCGGUAAAACGUGGGGAGCGAGCGUUGUCCGGAAUUACUGGGUGUACAGGGACGGUAGGCGGGGAUGCAAGCUGGAGUGAAAAACUACCGGCUCAACUGGUAGUCGCACUCAAAACUGCAGCGCUUGAGUGAAGUAGAGGCAGGCGGAAUUCCUAGUGUAGCGGUGAAAUGCGUAGAUAUUAGGAGGAACACCAGUGGCGAAGGCGGCCUGCUGGGCUUUUACUGACGCUGAGGCUCGAAAGUGUGGGGAGCAAACAGGAUUAGAUACCCCUGUAGUC